UACGUAGGUGGCAAGCGUUGUCCGGAUUUACUGGGCGUAAAGAGCGCGCAGGCGGCCAAGUAAGUCGAACGUGAAAUCCCCCGGCUCAACUGGGGAAAGACAUUCGAUACUGCCUGGCUUGAAGAUAGGAGAGGGAAGCGGAAUUUCAGGUGUAGUGGUGAAAUGCGUAGAUAUCUGAAGGAACACCAGUGGCGAAGGCGGCUUUCUGGCCUAUUCUUGACGCUGAGGCGCGAAAGCUAGGGGAGCGAACGGG
RNAcentral lists this ribosomal RNA (253 nucleotides) under uncultured bacterium. RNAcentral's name for it is "partial 16S ribosomal RNA". It matches the Rfam family "Bacterial small subunit ribosomal RNA", at positions 524 to 776 of the family's 1533-position model. The record is from RNAcentral.